Molecule: non-coding RNA, 86 nt
Organism: Dietzia timorensis
Lineage: Bacteria; Bacillati; Actinomycetota; Actinomycetes; Mycobacteriales; Dietziaceae
Source: Rfam
CUCGGUCCUCGGUAGUGGCAGCCGAACAUUCGCGUAGAACGCGCAGGACUUUCCCACACUUUCGGCUGCUUCGAUCGAAGGCCGCC